UUAGAUUUUAUUUAUUAAUUUUAUUUAUUUAUUUAAUUUAUUUAAUAAAAAUAAUUUUAGAAUUUUAAGUUUUAGUAUUUUAUAAAGAAAAAAUAAUUUUAAUUAUAGUUUAUUUGUAUUGAAAAAGAAAAUUGAAAUAAUUUGAAAAAUUUUUAUUUUAAAAGAAAAUUUAAUUUAUUGUACCUUGUGUAUCAGGGUUUAUUAAAUAAAAAAUUAUUAUAUUAAUUUUUCUCGAAUUUUAAAGAUUUAAUUAUAUAUAAAAGUUACUGUGGAAUAAUUAUUUUUAAUAUAUAAUUAGAAAUGAAAUGUUAAUCGUUUUAAAAUAUAUCUAGUUUCUUAAGAAAUAAAUUUAAUUUAGAUUUAUAAAUUUAAAUUAUUUAAUUAUUUUAAAUAAUUUAUUUUAUAAAAUUAAUAUUUUAAGGGAUUAGCUUUAAAAUAAAUUUUUAAAUUUUAAAUUAAUUAUUUAAUAAAUAUAAGCUUAAAAAUAGCUAUUAUUAAUAAAUUUGUUAUAAUUUAUUUUAAAAAUUUAAUUAUUUAGUAUGAAAUUAAAUUAUUUAUUAAGAUAUAAAUUUUAAUAAUAAAAAUUUAUUAAUUAUGAUAAAAUUAGUAUAUAAAAUUUUAUAAAUAAUUAUUUAUGAAAGGUUUAAAUAAGGAAUUCGGCAAAAAAUAUAUUCACCUGUUUAUCAAAAACAUGUCUUUUUGAAUUAAAUUUAAAGUCUAACCUGCCCACUGAUAAAAAUUAAAGGGCCGCGGUAUCUUGACUGUGCGAAGGUAGCAUAAUCAUUAGUCUUUUAAUUGGAGGCUUGUAUGAAUGGUUGAAUGAGAUAUAUACUGUCUUUUUUAAAAUUAAAUAGAAUUUUAUUUUUUAAUUAAAAAGUUAAAAUAAAAUUAAAGGACGAGAAGACCCUAUAGAUCUUUAUUUUUGUUAUUUAUAAAUUAAAAAGAAUUUUAAAAUUUAUAAUUUAAUAAAAAAUUUUAUUGGGGUGAUAUUAAAAUUUAAAAAACUUUUAAAAUUUAUUAACAUUAAUAUAUGAAUAAAUGAUCCAGUUUUAUUGAUUAAAAAUUUAAGUUACCUUAGGGAUAACAGCGUAAUUUUUUUUUAGAGUUCAUAUCGACAAAAAAGAUUGCGACCUCGAUGUUGGAUUAAGAGUUAUUUUUAGGUGUAGAAGUUUAAAGUUUAGGUCUGUUCGACCUUUGAAUUCUUACAUGAUCUGAGUUCAAACCGGCGUAAGCCAGGUUGGUUUCUAUCCUUAAUUAAUUAUUAUAUUAUAGUACGAAAGGACCUAAUAUAAAAAAUAUAGAUUUUAAUAAUAUGAUUAAUAUUAAUAUUAGAU
RNAcentral lists this ribosomal RNA (1334 nucleotides) under Culex lygrus. RNAcentral's name for it is "16S ribosomal RNA". The stretch from base 1080 to 1239 matches the Rfam family "Archaeal large subunit ribosomal RNA", at positions 2544 to 2703 of the family's 2987-position model. The record is from RNAcentral. Lineage: Eukaryota; Metazoa; Arthropoda; Insecta; Diptera; Culicidae.